Lagopus muta (rock ptarmigan) is the source of this 2968-nucleotide long non-coding RNA. RefSeq lists it as uncharacterized. Lineage: Eukaryota; Metazoa; Chordata; Aves; Galliformes; Phasianidae. The record is from RefSeq and is a predicted model, not a curated record. The transcript has 2 exons.
AAGCCAGCUGGUGAAGGACAGCAGAACUGGAAUGGGCCUUGUACUGCAGCUCAGGUCGCGGUCACCUGCUGUAUGCAACUUCAAGCUCACAUUUGGUUAGCAGGCUCAGUGAGAUGGAUUUCUGUGACACAGAGAGGGAGUGAACAGGGAUCUUAACAGCACGUGGCAAAGAAAGGAAGAAAGAAGUUACUGGAUGAACGCCCAGAAGAACAAGAAGAAUUUGUGACAAUCAGAAAAAAAUCUGUCUUGCAUGCUGUCAGGUGAGUAGGAGACAAGAUUUUUACCACAAGAUGCUUUAGGAGCUGUGAGAUGAGAACCUGGACUAAAAGCUUUAGUAACCAGACACAAAUUAAAGCCUUAAGUCACAAAACUACUUUGUUGGCUAUGUUACUGUGAAAAGUCAGCUGCUCUUCAAAUGCCUUGUGAUAACCUGAAGCUUUAAUAACAUGCAAGCCAAGAAUUAGAGAAGGAAUGCUCGACCGCAGGGAUUUCAGAAAUCCCUCGAUUACCCUGAGCUCGUUUCUGGUAAACUAUUAGCAGGGAUGAAUGCUCUCACUAACUGCUCCUUUCAAAUGUAAAUCUGUUUCAGAUCUAUGGGUGAUAAAUGAGAGCUGAGGAAAAAACUAAAAAGAGCUCACAACAGCUCGGGGUUCCUGAGGACCUGAGAAGAUGAUGAGGAACUCCACACAUUUCUACUGGAGCCGUGUUACUGAAGCUCGUAGCGAUGACAACUGCAGUGUAAGUAAUAAUCCGGGCUUCUCCCAGGCGCUGAUGGAUACUAAAAGCCCUCCCUGUUCACAGAAGAAUGUUAAGUGACAAGAGAUGGUCAAAUGAAAAGCAUCUGCUCAAAGCAGAGUUAUGACAAAAAGAAAACUCUCAGGAUAAAUAAAAGAUUAGACUAAUGAAAAUGAGACUGGCUUAAUUUAAUAGCGUAACAGCUCCAAUGUGCAUAAAAUGGUUAUGCCUGUACAGUUAGGUCUGCAUAAUGGUACAUGUGCCGUAAAGAUACUUUAGCUUAAAUAGUCCUCUGACACCUAUGUAAGUUUAUUGAAGAUGUGCGUUCAGUAUCUGACGGCAGACUUAAUUAUGCUUUCAGCUAGAAGUAUUCAGGCUGUGAGUAGGCUAUUUAGAACUUGCAAAACUAUUUCUAAAGCUCAUGUUAAGUUUAUGACAAGUGAUGGAGUCAAUUUAAAAAGGAGAGGGAAAGAGGACACUUGUUAAACAAACAAAUAGUAUUAGAUACUUUCAGGCAAACCACCAUGUGAAAAUGACACUUGAUUUACUGUGACAGGGAGGACUGGUGUAUUUUAACAAGAACCCAGGUCUUCAGAGACACCUAAACACCACCACACGGUUGAUUUGAAUAUCUUGAGCAUUAAGAAACAACUGCUUUGUGUUACCUUCUAUGGGCAACCACUCUACUAGGAUGCACUGGUGUGUGACUCCAACUGCCACAGCUUGUUCUACUAAUUUUCUUCCUUCACUUUUAAAAGGUUACUGUGCAUGAAGACACAGUUCAAAGAGCUUAAGCUAUUUUUAGAGAAAUCAGUCUUUCCUGUGACUUUGCACAAAAGGCUUGCCUUUUGAUUAUGUACUUCACUGAAAGAUGUGAAAAAGCCGCUCCCAAAAACUGCUUUUUUCCAGGGCUUACUUUACAUAAUACUACUGAGUGCUUAAUUUUAAACAAUUAAAUUUCUGUUUUUGACAACAAGAAGUAGGCAGGAAUAGUGACAUGCUCCUAUUCUCCCCUGGUCUGUUCCAGGAAACUUUGCUGGGGGCUUGUCCACACUUGCUGACAGUUUUAGCUGUUCUAUUUUCUUUAAACACCAUCCAAAUGACAUAUAGAAUCUGAUUUAUUUUUCCUACUGCUAUUUUUUCAUUUAUAUUCCUGAGCAACGCAGCCAUCAUGGGGAAAAAAUCAGAGAGGAAGUCAAGAGGACGUGUACCUGGAAGACUUUUCCCAUGUAUCAUGUGUUGGAAGGAUCAGAGAGACAAACACCAGUAGCCUGCAUAGCUGCCACUAUUGAGCUAUAACAUGACACUUGAUUCAAGCACAGCCAACGACAAUCUCGGAGUGGUACCUUCUGCAAGAGUAAAAAUACUGAGUGGUAAAUUUAAGAGAGAGCUCUGCUCGCUACACCUGCUUUAGCCAGAAAAACUGCAACAAUUUAUUUUGUACCGUCAAAUAAAAUAAAUGGAUCUUGUAACACUAGCAAUCUAAUUCCCUGCGUACAGUAUAAUCUCACUGUAAAGAAACAACACAGAUACUUUUUAUGCACUCGACCAAAUACUCUAUCACCCUGCCCCCAGAGGUAACUGCAGCUUACAUAAUGCAUUUCAGUCCUGAUCUUCUAUCACUGCAAAAAUAACUGGCCUGUACCUGUCCCAGCUAAACCCACUGAUGUGCUCCCCAACUCAGUUUUACCCAAGGAGUGACUGACAGAGGAAGCUGUAAACCACAAACCAGCCCCAGCGAGUACAACUCCUAGCAUGGCAGGGGCGCCUGGACAGUCCCAGGCUUGAUACUUUCCUCAGAAUUUCCAAGCAUCCACACACACAAACAGCAGUCAGUGCAACUGAAAUACAGCCUACGAGCAUCUGUGCUGCUGUAGCAGUCAACCGGCAGCGCUCCCACCUACUGCAUUUCAAGAAGUCUGUUGAGCUGUCAGCGUGUCGGCACUCUACAAUGGUGGGACAGCUCAGAAAGUAACUAGCUCACAAAAUGCUUCUUCAUUACACUGAUUGUGAGCAAAUCUUCUGUCUUCAUUUAACAUUAUACACCAUUAGGAAAGUCAAGCUGCAGGUAAAGGGAACGCCUGAUGAAGCAAAAGCAGUUUGGAAGACAUUGUCAUGAACGAUCACUCUUACAGCCCGAUCGCCUCUUUCUGUAGUUGACUCCCACACUUAAAUUCUUGUUCAUCUCUAAAAACUAAUUGCAAUCUAAAAAAAAAAAAAAAAAAAACCAGCA